RNAcentral lists this long non-coding RNA (951 nucleotides) under Bos indicus x Bos taurus (hybrid cattle). Its description in RNAcentral is "lncRNA (ENSBIXG00000013362.1)". The record is from RNAcentral. Lineage: Eukaryota; Metazoa; Chordata; Mammalia; Artiodactyla; Bovidae.
CCUGUCCAGAGAGGACACUCACGUCCUCACCAGGGAGGGAGAGGGCGACUGGCUGGGGAGACUGGAUUUUCCCAGGAGCAGCUUUGCCAAAGGCAGGGGCUCCCUUGUACCCACAGAGCCAACAGCCCUUCCAACCCCCAGCCCCACCAACACCUUUAAUGCUGUCCACGGUUCCCUUCUCCUCUGCUCUGCGGCACUCGAAGCCUGUCCUUGCCUUGCUGGCCACCUGGGGCCACCCCUUCCCCCACAGCCACGGGUAUAAAACUAUAUUCAUUCUGUGAAACCUGGGAUUAAGUCUUCACGCAAACAUUGGCUGUAACAAUUGAAAAGUGACUUCACCAAGGACUGAUGUGCAGGCCCCAGUCUGCCUACAGAUCUGUCACAGUGGAACACUGCUCAGCGCUUCAUCCUUCACAAUAAAUGGCCAGACUUGGUCAAGAUAACCACGCUGGUGGAGACCAGGCAACUGCAAGGUGGGAGCCACGGAGAGAACACUCCAGAAAACAGGCUGGCUUGUCAUCUCCGGGAAGAAGCCGUCCUGCUUGGUGUCCCGAAAGGCCCAAGUGUGAGCUGGAGGGCUUUCAAGCAAGCCUGGGAUUCUUUUCACAAGUUAGAGGUUCUCCAUUUGCGAGCACCUGCCCCCGGCUAUGCGCCGGGAGUCUCCAAGGACACCCCCUGGGACAGCACACGAGUCCAGGAGGACAACCCAGCCAGGGCUGCGGGGCGCAGCUGCCCACGCGAGGGGCCUCCGGCCAGCCAGGAGCCGCCUCCCAGGCCCAGCUGCAGGGCUGGGUUUCCUGCAGAGCGCGAUUCUGGAGCCGGGCCGCUAAGCCCGUGACGCGUGUUUAUGGUUCUCACUGCCCCCGGGGACAGCUGCAGGCCUCUCCGCCCGGCCAGGGCCUGGUCAAGGGCUGCUGGAGCUGGAAACCCUGGCAGCUGCUAAUCCCCUAA